AGUACCACGGUAUUGUGGUACCACGGUAUUGUGGUACCACGGUACUGUGGUACUACGGUACUGUGGUACUACGGUACUGUG
Molecule: non-coding RNA, 81 nt
Organism: Paramuricea clavata
Lineage: Eukaryota; Metazoa; Cnidaria; Anthozoa; Malacalcyonacea; Plexauridae
Source: the annotation of a GenBank genome assembly